UACGAGGGGGGCAAGCGUUGUUCGGAAUUAUUGGGCGUAAAGGGUGCGUAGGCGGUCUGACAAGUCUGAUGUGAAAUCUAUGGGCUCAACCCAUAGUCUGCAUCGGAAACUGUCGGGCUUGAGUAUGGGAGAGGUGAGUGGAAUUUCCGGUGUAGCGGUGAAAUGCGUAGAUAUCACUUGGAACGCCAAAGGUGAAGACAGUCUGCUGGGGACUUGCUGACGCUGAGACACGAAAGCCAGGGGAGCGAACGGG
Molecule: ribosomal RNA, 253 nt
Filed under: uncultured bacterium
Lineage: Bacteria
Description: partial 16S ribosomal RNA
Rfam family: Bacterial small subunit ribosomal RNA
Source: RNAcentral